CUGGAUUCAGGAACAGACAACUGGUAAAACGUUACUUCUGGCUGUAUCAGUGGGGGCUUCCAGAGAAGACUGGUGUGUGACUCAGUGGACUGAGUGAGGAAGAUUCACCUUCAAUGUAGAUUUUGAACAUCUAUCAAUCAGCAAAUUAAUUGUAAGAGGAUUCAUGGAAGAUAUUAUUUGACUGGCUCUUCUACCAAUAUUUGGAAGUCAUAUGCAUUCUCUAUUUUUCAGGACCUGCAAAACCAAAAAAAAUCGGCUAUGUUUAUCAGUAAUUUAAUCACCAGGAAGUUGAAUAACACUCUUCGAUAUGACACUUAAAAAAUUAUGAAUUUAAUUAUUGCAUAGGUAAAUGAUAGAUGUGGCAAAAAUACUGUCCCAAUGUAUAUGUUGCUAAAAACUAUUAAUUCUUUUUCAUUUUUAACUCAUAACUAGCUAGACCAAUUAUUUAGUGUACUAAAUGGUUAUAUUUUCUUAUGUUAAAUUUCUUUCUUGAAAUGACUUUAAUUCUACCUUUUAAGUAAAUCUCUAGGCAAACAGAUCCCUUGCACAAGUCUGCUGUCAAAAUCUGUUCCUAGCAAUGUCACCUAUAACUGGUUAAAGAUACAGAAUAGAAAUGGCUAUAUUAAGGGGACUUUCAAAAUGAAUUAUUGAUAACAUACCUUUUAAAUUUUAUG
This 674-nucleotide long non-coding RNA is filed under the name Homo sapiens (human). RNAcentral describes it as "HSALNT0075102". The record is from RNAcentral. Lineage: Eukaryota; Metazoa; Chordata; Mammalia; Primates; Hominidae.